AUUGAACGCUGGCGGCAGGCCUAACACAUGCAAGUCGAACGAGUGGCGGACGGGUGAGUAAUGUCUGGGAAACUGCCCGAUGGAGGGGGAUAACUACUGGAAACGGUAGCUAAUACCGCAUACCAUCGGAUGAGCCCAUAUGGGAUUAGCUAGGAGGUGGGGUAAAGGCUCACCUAGGCGACGAUCCAUAGCUGGUCUGAGGGGAUGACCGGCCACCCUGGAACUGGGCAACGGCCCAGACUCCUACGGGAGGCAGCAGUGGGGAAUAUUGGACAAGGGGCGCAAGCCUGAUGCAGCCAUGCCGCGUGUAUGAAGAAGGCCUUCGGGUUGUAAAGUACUUUCAGCGAGGAGGCGUUACUCGCAGAAGAAGCACCGGCUAACUCCGUGCCAGCCGCCGCGGUAAUUC
RNAcentral lists this ribosomal RNA (406 nucleotides) under uncultured bacterium. Its description in RNAcentral is "partial 16S ribosomal RNA". It matches the Rfam family "Bacterial small subunit ribosomal RNA", at positions 30 to 526 of the family's 1533-position model. The record is from RNAcentral.